GGCUCGGUAGUGAAACGGCUAUCACGCUUCGCUCAUAACGAAGUAUUUCGGGUUCGAGUCCCGGCUGAGCUAC
This 73-nucleotide transfer RNA is filed under the name Streptomyces phage StarPlatinum. RNAcentral describes it as "tRNA-Met". It matches the Rfam family "tRNA". From Rfam's summary of the family: Transfer RNA (tRNA) molecules are approximately 80 nucleotides in length. Their secondary structure includes four short double-helical elements and three loops (D, anti-codon, and T loops). Lineage: Duplodnaviria; Heunggongvirae; Uroviricota; Caudoviricetes; Stanwilliamsviridae. The record is from RNAcentral. RNAcentral also lists the same sequence under 4 other names.